RNAcentral lists this long non-coding RNA (1071 nucleotides) under Monodelphis domestica (gray short-tailed opossum). RNAcentral's name for it is "lncRNA (ENSMODG00000049905.1)". The record is from RNAcentral. Lineage: Eukaryota; Metazoa; Chordata; Mammalia; Didelphimorphia; Didelphidae.
UUCCCCACUUCCCUCACCCAUUCUUUCCCUGCUAGUUAUUCCUUUGUAUUAUCCUGAUUGAGUGGACAUUAAAAUAGUUAUCUGUUCUCCAAGCUGUGAACAAGUGUGAGUGAGCAGAUCAAGGGGAGACCCUUUGAUCUCGAGUAGUGGAGGGGGGACAAGAGCAAAUCUGGGAGAGCAGCCUUAGCUAAGGAGGGAAGGCAGAAGGGGAAAAUCUUCAACCCCCUCUCCUCUCUCUGAGCCAACCUUAAACAUCAGCUGUCUCCCCUGAACCCUGGUGUGAGAAGGGGGGUCUCCACUCUUCUCUCUAUACUGAAACUGAACCCCUCAGUUACAACUAAACAACCCCUUGAAUGAUACCACACGUGCUCAUUUCCAAAUGGAUUUACCCGUCAUCCCUGGAUUACUGAGUGCCCAGGGCUGGCCAGGGACCCCCAAGUCGGCCUGGAUCCCUCGGUGCUGAGGUGCUGACCUCCCAUUGGCUCCCACUUUGACUGGUUCUUCUUCCCUUCCCCAGCUCUUACCCAUUCCCUGGAAGCAGAUAAUAGUCUAAUGAAGGGGCAUCAUCAAACAACACAGGGGAGGCCACAUUAUUCACCUGUUUCCAACCAGGAGCAGAGAGAGAAACAUGUUUGCGAUAUUGUCUGGAUAAAUUAUUUAAGCGGUUCUUUGUGAGACUGGAAUGAAGAUCCCAUGUCGGCUACAGAACCGGAGGAGGAAAAUGGAAAACGUGAGGAGCGGUUGGCAUGGUUGUGAUCAUUUCAUAAAGGUGCUCAUUAAGCAUCCAUGCUUCCCAGACAGCUGAUGAACAGAGGCCUCUCUGAGAAGGAAAACUGGACAGGGCCCAGGAGAGAGAAUUAGCAUUUUAAUAACAACCAGAGUCCAGACUUGCUGACUAGGGUUUAUUACAAGGUGAGCUUGUCUCCAACACAGCCAAUCAGACUUUGGGCUCGGUGGACACAUGGGGGAGAUACAUCGAUUUUCCCUUCUCUGCUCCAGAUCAAACUGGGAAGGGAAGCUCUGAGGUGACAUCAGCAGGCCAGUCACCAUGGCGCCCAGAAAGGACAUUAU